AUCCAGCCGACGUGUCCCAAAUAGGACGGAACACGCAUCCUGAAU
Molecule: non-coding RNA, 45 nt
Organism: Schistosoma margrebowiei
Lineage: Eukaryota; Metazoa; Platyhelminthes; Trematoda; Strigeidida; Schistosomatidae
Source: Rfam